Molecule: long non-coding RNA, 174 nt
Organism: Triticum dicoccoides
Lineage: Eukaryota; Viridiplantae; Streptophyta; Magnoliopsida; Poales; Poaceae
Exons: 2
Source: RefSeq, a predicted model, not a curated record
UGGAAACGAAGCAAGAACUGGAUGGAGCUCAGGAUUUUGCUACUACCUUGCUAAUAGCUUUGUGAGGCAUGUCACCGAUGGCAAGUGCAAGAAGAAAGCACCAAGGAAAAUCCACAAAUCCAAGAGGCAGAAGCAUAAGCGCGUCCUGCUCAAUGAUCUCUUGGGUGAACUUAU